Molecule: ribosomal RNA, 276 nt
Filed under: uncultured bacterium
Lineage: Bacteria
Description: partial 16S ribosomal RNA
Source: RNAcentral
CUGCUGCCUCCCGUAGGAGUCUGGUCCGUGUCUCAGUACCAGUGUGGGGGGCCUUCCUCUCAGAACCCCUACGCAUCGUCACCUCGGUGGGCCGUUACCCCGCCGACUAGCUAAUGCGCCGCAUGCCCAUCCGUGGCCGGGAUUGCUCCCUUUGGCGGCCUUGGGAUGCCCCAAGGCCGCGUUACGCGGUAUUAGACGGGGUUUCCCCCGCUUAUCCCCCUGCCACGGGCAGGUUGCAUACGUGUUACUCACCCGUGCGCCGGUCGCCGGCAACGG